RNAcentral lists this ribosomal RNA (253 nucleotides) under uncultured bacterium. Its description in RNAcentral is "partial 16S ribosomal RNA". It matches the Rfam family "Bacterial small subunit ribosomal RNA", at positions 524 to 776 of the family's 1533-position model. The record is from RNAcentral.
UACGUAGGGUGCUAGCGUUGUUCGGAAUCAUUGGGCGUAAAGCGCGUGUAGGUGGUUAAUUAAGUCGGGUGUGAAAUCCCUGGGCUCAACCGAGGAAGUGCAUCCGAAACUAAUUAGCUAGAGAGUGGCAGAGGAAGGUGGAAUUCCUAGUGUAGAGGUGAAAUUCGUAGAUAUUAGGAGGAAUACCGGUGGCGAAGGCGGCCUUCUGGACCAUUUCUGACACUGAGACGCGAAAGCGUGGGGAGCAAACAGG